CUUUCUCAAGCGAGUGGCGAACGGGUGAGUAACGCGUGAGGAACCUGCCUCAAAGAGGGGGACAACAGUUGGAAACGACUGCUAAUACCGCAUGACACAUAGAUGUCGCAUGGCAUUUAUGUCAAAGAUUUAUCGCUGAAAGAUGGCCUCGCGUCUGAUUAGCUAGUUGGUGAGGUAACGGCCCACCAAGGCGACGAUCAGUAGCCGGUCUGAGAGGAUGAACGGCCACAUUGGGACUGAGAUACGGCCCAGACUCC
RNAcentral lists this ribosomal RNA (257 nucleotides) under uncultured Oscillibacter sp. Its description in RNAcentral is "partial 16S ribosomal RNA". It matches the Rfam family "Bacterial small subunit ribosomal RNA", at positions 82 to 339 of the family's 1533-position model. Lineage: Bacteria; Bacillati; Bacillota; Clostridia; Eubacteriales; Oscillospiraceae. The record is from RNAcentral.